AUGUGUGUGUUGAUUUUUGGUGUAGGGUUUUUGAUUGGUUAAAGUAGUACUACACAUACAUCUGCCGAAACUAGCAGUGAAGUUCAAUGGGCAGAAAGAAGACAACAGAAGAGAACCCUGAACCUCCCAAGCACGGCGGUGGAGGAGGGAAGUCCAAGAAGAAGAAUCGAAUGAUUGCCGAUGAUGAGUACUCUGUCCAGACUGAA
Molecule: unclassified non-coding RNA, 206 nt
Filed under: Hevea brasiliensis (rubber tree)
Lineage: Eukaryota; Viridiplantae; Streptophyta; Magnoliopsida; Malpighiales; Euphorbiaceae
Source: RNAcentral